CAGAAUACCACAGUCUUGAGGCUAUGAAGUCCAUGAUUAAGAAGACAGCACGUUUGCUUUCUGGUUCCAAGAUGGCACACCUUGUUGCUGCUUCCUCCAGAGAGGAGGAACACUGUGUCCUCACAUGGUAGAAGGUGGAAGGAGCAGAUGCAGAUGAGCAUGGCAAUGUGAGAAUAUGUCAGAGGCCCCAAGAUGAAAUGAGCUCAAGUCCCUGAAAUCCCUGUUAGAAGAGUCUGUCCACUGGUUGAGAAUGCUAAUUGUAUUUUGAGAAACAAAACAGAAUUUUUACUUAUAUCAGAAGGCAAUCAAAGAACAUACAGAUAAUAUACAUUCUAUUAUAGAGGAGAAGAAAUGCUUACUGCCAAUACCAUGACAGAUAACAAAUUAUCAGGCAUGUAUCUGAGUAUGCAGAGAAGGGACUGAAUGAAUAUGCCCAAAGAUGUGUAACACUCAUUGUCUCUGGGGAGAUGAUGUCUGUGUUCUGUCUGUUGAGGAAGGGUAGAUUUCUGACUAUGGAAGAGGUAAGUUGUCUGUGUAACCUCAUUCUUCCUGGACAUGGGACAAGAACUUGGGACCCGCUGAAUGAUGGGAGCAAAAGGAUCUGUAUCAUGUUCCUGGCCAGCUUGCUAAACUGCAGAUGGUGACAUGCUCCCAGACUGCAGGAGUGAAGAGUGGCAACCCUUCUGGCAG
RNAcentral lists this long non-coding RNA (690 nucleotides) under Pongo abelii (Sumatran orangutan). RNAcentral describes it as "lincRNA". The record is from RNAcentral. Lineage: Eukaryota; Metazoa; Chordata; Mammalia; Primates; Hominidae.